UACGUAGGGUGCAAGCGUUAUCCGGAUUUAUUGGGUUUAAAGGGUGCGUAGGCGGGUGCCUAAGUCCAGGAUGAAAUGGCAGAGCUUAACUCCGUCGCUGUCCUGGAUACUGGGGAUCUUGAGUGCGGUCGAGGGUGCUGGAAUGAGUGGUGUAGUAGUGAAAUACUUAGAGAUCACUCAGAACACCAAUUGCGAAGGCAGGUGCCUAGACCGAAACUGACGCUGAGGCACGAAAGCGUGGGGAGCAAACAGG
Molecule: ribosomal RNA, 253 nt
Filed under: uncultured bacterium
Lineage: Bacteria
Description: partial 16S ribosomal RNA
Rfam family: Bacterial small subunit ribosomal RNA
Source: RNAcentral